AUCUUGCACAAUGGGGGCAACCCUGAUGCAGCGACGCCGCGUGAGCGAUGAAGCCCUUCGGGGCGUAAAGCUCUUUCGACCGGAACGAUAAUGACGGUACCGGGAGAAGAAGCUGCGGCUAACUACGUGCCAGCAGCAGCGGUAAUACGUAGGCAGCAAGCGUUGUUCGGAGUUACUGGGCGUAAAGAGUGCGUAGGCGGUUUUCUAAGUUCGGUGUGAAAUCUCCCGGCUUAACUGGGAGGGUGCGCCGAAGACUGGGAAGCUGGAGUGUGGGAAAGGCAGGCGGAAUUCCUGGUGUAGCGGUGAAGUGCGUAGAUAUCAGGAGGAACACCGGCGGUGUAGACGGCUUGCUAGACCAUAACUGACGCUGAGGCACGAAAGCGUGGGUAGCA
This 392-nucleotide ribosomal RNA is filed under the name uncultured bacterium. RNAcentral's name for it is "bacterial SSU rRNA". It matches the Rfam family "Bacterial small subunit ribosomal RNA", at positions 361 to 770 of the family's 1533-position model. The record is from RNAcentral.